AUUAGAUAGCUAUUCCUCCUGGGACUUAUAACAUUCAUAUGAUACUAACAAUGCUAUAGAGUGACAAAUUUAAAAAGUCAUGGGGAUGCUGUAACGGCUAAAUGGAUUCGUUCGAAUUUGCAUCAUUACUGAGGGAUGCUAGGGUAAUCAAAACAAUAGGAAAUCUUAUGUGCUUAUUAUGUCCUUGCAUAAUAAGCAUAUCUAUAUAAUAUAUGUACGUAUAUAUAUGUAUGCAUAUGUAUAUGUAUAUAUAUAUAUAUAUAUAUAUAUAUAUAUAUAUAUAUACGCAUAUAUAUAUGUAUAUAUAUAUAUAUAUAUAUAUAUAUAUAUAUAUAUAUAUAUAUAUAUAUAUAUAUAUAUAUAUAUGCUGUAUAGAAGGAGGAUGGAGCGAUUAGGCCAACGUGAAUAAAGUACCUCACAAUCAAAUGUACUAUUUACAUUUUUAAGAAAAAAAAUGCACGUUACAUUGAAUCCUAUUCCCUCCCUAUCAAUGGUAUUCAUUGGACACUGAUAAAAAAUAGAGAAAAAGAAAUGUAAGCUUAACUGAAUCUUCCCUUGCCUGAUUCACUUGACCCCCUUCCGUCCACACGUCACAGGUUGCUGUGACCUUCCUCUACCAACAUCCAUCGCGUAUAAGCAUGAUAACGGAUAUUUUUAAAUUACCCUUACAAAAAAACUUAGCCUUAAAAUGCAUAUGUUUAUAGAACAAUUUCUACCCAAAAUUACAUUUUGUAUUAUUCCCCAAAAUAUUUGCAUAAACUCAUGUUACACCCUAUAUACAUUUCUCAGAUCACGUUCUCCUACAUGCAGUUCAAACAGUUGUAAAUUUCGUUUGUUGAGACUUGAAUUCCAGAACUUUCCUAGUUUAUGCGGAAUGGGCAGCGAUUCAGGCAAAGCAGACAGGUCAACAGAACCUUCCUUCCUAGACCUAUGAGUGCGCUCUCCAUCCUUUGUUGAACAGUCAAUGCGGCUGUCAAAUAUAAAAUGAUCCAUGAGCCGUGCACUUGUGAGGGACUGGAGAAGAUUUGUUACUGAAAUUAUUUCAUGAAAUAAAAGGUCAAACCCAGCCACAGAAGCAAUAUUUCCAGUCAUUCCUACAACUACAUGACCACGGGGACCCUUUACAAAGCUGGUCAAUAACCUUUGCCACAGCAGAAAAUACUGCUCCUGGUUGAUCUUUUGCAAUGAAAUGUCCCGUGCAGAAUUUGUUGUUUCAGUCUUUG
This is a long non-coding RNA of Macrobrachium nipponense, 1223 nucleotides long. RefSeq lists it as uncharacterized. The transcript has 2 exons. The record is from RefSeq and is a predicted model, not a curated record. Lineage: Eukaryota; Metazoa; Arthropoda; Malacostraca; Decapoda; Palaemonidae.